Molecule: long non-coding RNA, 364 nt
Organism: Entelurus aequoreus (snake pipefish)
Lineage: Eukaryota; Metazoa; Chordata; Actinopteri; Syngnathiformes; Syngnathidae
Exons: 3
Source: RefSeq, a predicted model, not a curated record
GACACCCCUGAUGUAGAACAACAACAACAAAAGUCUUUCAAGCUUACGAUUUUAACCCGGCGUUCUCCAGGGUGAUCUCCUCCAGGCUGGAUGAUUUGCUGACUGUGUGCAGGACCUGCUCCGUGACCUCUGACCCCUGACACCGAUCAACAGACAAGUAGAGCUUAGUGAACCAGGUGUUGUACGCCACCGAAGCGACAAUCACCGCCAAGUCCCUGCAGGCGACAGACAACCAUCAGUCUUACCUGCUUUCCAGGUGACUAAAAUCCAGCAAGUUGAACUCUCGGUUGUCCUGGGAGUGGUAGAUGGUGUCCACAUCCUAGAGGGUGACAUUAGCCAGGAGUCCGCAGGGAUCUCGUGCAAG